Entelurus aequoreus (snake pipefish) is the source of this 1650-nucleotide long non-coding RNA. RefSeq lists it as uncharacterized. The record is from RefSeq and is a predicted model, not a curated record. The transcript is spliced from 5 exons. Lineage: Eukaryota; Metazoa; Chordata; Actinopteri; Syngnathiformes; Syngnathidae.
UGGAUGGAGCUAAUGUUAUUGUAAUGCCAGCAUUAAUAAGAGCCAUUGUAGUACUGGACGGCUCCAGCAGGGGGCGCGUUGUGCUGGGAGCUAUACUAGAGGACACCUGACUUCCUGCUUGCAGUCAAUACAGACGUGAGCGGAGCGAAGUUGUGUCCUCGUAUCUGUAUACUCAAACAUCUCCCUUCUCAGGCUUUUUGCUGACCACAUACGUUUAUUAAUUACAAAUGUAAUUAAUAAACAAAGCAGUGCAACUGGCACAACAGCGCCCCCACCUGGCAAGUGAGACAACGCAAAACAUCAGAAGUGCAGUGGGUCCUCUAAUUUGUAUGCCGCUGUGACGCAUGGAGUUGACACAAGGACACGUCUGUGAGGAGAGCGGGCGAGCGGUUCUUACGUAACGCCAGUCUGCAUGAAUCGACGCGAGGGGGAUGGGUCCUCAUGUGUUCCUGUGGCUGUGCCUAUCUGGCUGAGUCAGUGCUUGCACGAGUUGGGGCAGUUGUCUUUGAAGAUGACACAAACAGGGAAGAGGGUCCACACUGCGAGAGAUCGGGACAGAUGUGGAAAGGACAGAGGACAGAGACUGACAGAUGUUUUCCCUGGAGGGUUAGUUUGAGCGAGAAAGAUAACCACGGGGAAUGGCCGCCAGCUCAAAUCGUGAUGCCGAACUUCAGUCCUGAACCCUGGAACACAAUAUGUGCUCUCUGUGCCCAGGGACGUGAUCCUGAGUUUAAAAAACGGGGGACGAUACAAUACAAAGGUCCUUUUGGUGUUGACUAUCAACACGAGUAGAAGCUCGCUAAUAUGAUGAAGGGUGUGCUACAUGAGCGCUUGGACAGGUUGACGAUGGGAUUUGGGUUGGUCAAAUAAGGUGGAUAGUGUGUGUGUGUUUGCUGGAUACAUGAACAUAUCAGAACCAUGGGCACCACUUGGCAGAUUUCUUUGAGAGUGAAGGUGAUAUCACAGCAGGCUCGGUGAAGCCAACUGUGAAACUGCACCGCUUGAUCAUCCUAUUGCUUUGUGUGUUUAAUCAGUACUUACAGUUCUAUUUAAAUACCCUGCAAUUUAGUUGAGAAAAAAAAAGAGCAGUGGCACCUGAAUACGGUAUCGCUGUCAGCGGGCUGCUUUUACAAAGAUCAUCUCUGAUUGGCUUUGAUUUUAUGUUUGUUCUCGCCAUGAAAAACAAGCGGAAGAAGUUUUGUCUGCCAUGCAUUUUCUUUUGUCAAUGCCACAAAUUUGCAUUAAUCGUUACCAUGGAAACACAGCUCUCCCAUCAUCAUCAAACAGAAAUCAUAUUUGUGAAACCAGCCCCAAUGUGUGUGUGUGUGCUGUAACAAUGAAGAUUAUUUUUUACAAUAUGGUCAUGAUUAGGGUUGCAAAGAGGGGGAAACAUCCGGCAAGAUAAAGAUAUUUUGGAAAUAUUCAGAUUUAAUGACAAUUAAUGGGAAUUAUGUACAAAUGUCAUAAAAGCCUGUGUGCAAAUUAGUAUUACCAUAAUACAAGUGCAUCUCAAUGCAUGAGAAUGUGGUGCAAACGUUUUUUAUGAUUUUUCUUUAAUGAGAUACUCAAUUUGGGUUUUUCAUAGUGCUGUCAAACAAUAAACAUGUUCAUGUGAUUAAUUAAAAUUUUGAAUUUUGAUUACUGUAUUUU